Meleagris gallopavo (turkey) is the source of this 5878-nucleotide non-coding RNA. Lineage: Eukaryota; Metazoa; Chordata; Aves; Galliformes; Phasianidae. The record is from RefSeq and is a predicted model, not a curated record.
AUAUAUUUAUCUUGUUUAAGACCACCUCAAGCCUUUCCCAGGAGAGCAAGGACUAUCAGCUCCAUUGCUCUGCUGUGCUCAGCACGGAAAGCAGCGGUGGCAGUGGGGGCUGGCUGGGUUCCCCACCCACCACCGCUGUGACGCUUCUGUUCUCAGCUCCGUACUCUCAGUUCUCCUCCCCACCACCCCCAGCUGCCGCCGGUGCUGACGACUGCUGCAUGCUUUCCUCACAGCUGAAGCAAACCCUGCUGCAUUUCUGCUUCCUCCUGCAGGACAGAUUUACUCACUGUGGUGACCCUGUGGUUGCCACAUGUUAGUUAUGUUAAAGGCACGGCUCCGGAUCUAAUGAAAUCCAUCAGGUUUGUCAUUGCAUAGCAGGAAGCUGAAGAGCGCGGAGGCAGGAAGAGGAUUGCUGCGGUGCUGUGAUGGAAGGAUCUCUGGUGCUGGGCUCUGGCCAUGGCUGCGGUGCUGGGAAGGGGCUGGGGGUGCUGAUCCCUCUGUUGCCGUAACUCCCAGAGCCAACACACAGAUCACGUCGUAUCUGGGCUUCGGCAUCAUGUUGAGUCAGAGAUGACAGCAGCAGAUCCACUUCAUGAGUCAUCUGCUUAAUCCCUCUCCAGACAGAGGGCUCUUCCUUUUGUUAUUAGUCAGUGUGUCAGCGCUGCCUUACUGUUAGAUGUGCUGGUUGUUGUUUUCUUGCUGGCUAAAUGAGGUCAUUUUUUUCUGUGCUUUUGACUCUGGCAGUGGCAUUUCCAGCCCUGGCAAGGAUUUCUACCUCUGUAGGUUAGCUGGGUUCAUGCCGUGCUCCAGCAGACUGCUUCCCCUCCUGGAGGGAGAGCUGGCGAGGAGGUCUCCCACGAAGGAGCCGAUCGAAUCCAUUGGGAAUGCUGGGACAAGAAAGGCUGACAAACUGCAGUGCCGCAUCAAAAAGCGACUAAAAAUGGAAUCCUAGGUCAUCCCGGGAAGCAGCAGUGCCCUGCCGGUACCCCGCACUGGUGCCAGUGCUGCCCAGCACCUGCCGCAGCUGAGCUGAGCUGCCUGCAAUUGGUCCAGAAGGAAAGGAGCAGUAAGAACUCUGUGCCCCAUGCCUUUCCCAGGUAGGUGUGCCGAGGCCGGCCUCUCAUCAUCAGCUCCUCCCUCUGACAGGGAAGGAGAUUGAGACAGAAAGGUUUUUAAGGUCAGCACCAUCUAUUCAAAGCAAGACUAGAAGGCCUGACCUUUUUCAAAUGGUAAGUGUUGUCAGUGCUCCCAUUGGGAUUUUUCCCCAGGUGACUGCUUAAAUGUCACUAGUGGUAAACCAGGGGACUGGAACCACUGUGAACUCCUUUGUUUCCUUCAUGAGACAUCAUUGAGAGCUUUUAAUCAGGUUAUAUAUUUUCCUAAAGUUGAAAACAUACUGGAGAGAGGGAAUAUAAAUACAUUUUUCCUACCAUAUCCAUUUUGUGAAAACAAAGUUUGCGAUGUUGUCUGUCUUUAGCAAUGCAAAAGAGACAUCUUGUAUGGCUGCAAUUAACACUCCAGCAAUAACUCAGUGGCGUACAUUCCUUGUGUUUAUUGAUUAGUGAACAAGCCCCCUGGGGUUUACAUGGCUUCCAACACAUUUGGUUCCAGCUGAAUACCUGCAGCGUGCAUUGAUCUAAGUGUGUGAUUUCCCCUCAAUAUCAGCCUUCCUCUCCUACUGCAUCACAGCUGCAUGUGCUCAUGUAGCUGUGCAAACCAAGUGGCUGAAAAUGAAAAAUCGCCCUGUGAAAAAUGAAAGGGCACCUGUUCCAGUCUCUGCUGGCACCCAUGAGCCCUCUGUCACAUCGAGGUUACACCUGCAUAAUUCACUUCCCUACAAUAGAGCUACUCCUGAUUUCUAUUUGUGUGUGAGGAGAAGCUCAGGUCCCUCCGGGGCUGUGGCAGCUCAGUGCUUCAAAGCAUCAGGUCCAGAAAAGGACCUGAUAGCAAAGUUCAAAACGAUUGGAUACUCACUUCUUUACACCUUUGGUUUUCUUUGUGAAUGUACCUACAGAUCGCGGCACAGGCAUUUCCAGUAUAGGUGUGGCUGCAGUCAUUCCUGCUCAUUCUUUUGAAGGUACACAUGCUUACAAAAGAGCAGGAUGUGAAAGCCGAUGAACACGUCUGAACGGACACAGUGACCAACUGAAGGUGGAGGGUGAUGAGCAGCGGGAGGAGCUGCUCAGCAGAAUGAGGGCUUCAGCUGGGUGGGAGCUGGGGAUGUGCAUCCUGCUGUGGCUGUGCGUGUGGCAGGGGUGGGGAUGGGCAGAGAGGAAUGCUGCUGAGGAGGAGGAAGGCUGCGGGAAGAGGGUGCUAGAGCUGUGGGAGUAAUGAGCUGCUGCUGUCAGCUCCUCAGCCUCUGAGCUAUUUAAAAGUUGAUACUGGAGUAUUAAAUGGUGUGUGGCAAGGAGGAUGGAGGUGCGGGUGAGUUUUCAAGCCGGAGUUAUGGUGCAGGCUAAUUCUGCCGUUCUAUUCAUAGCUGCAUGGUAGAAGAGCAUAGGCUGCAUGUGGAGGAGUGAGAAGAAGCUGAUAAGGAAAUUAGCAAGCAUUAAUGCAUCUGUGAUGGGAAAUGUCUUCUUACAGCUGCAUGUUGUGCUGCUCCUAACCAAGAUGAAGCACUGGUGCUGCCUCUGCUUUCAGCUGCCAUGGCCUCAGCCAGUCCUCGUCAGAAGGGUCACACUGUGAGGACUCCUGAACACAGGGCUGUGUGGGUCCCAGCAACUCCAGGGCUGUUUCUUCAGGGCUCUGGUGCCUGUGCUCUGCUUGCUGCCGCCAGCAGGGAUGAUCCACUUGCCGAGCAGGAAGGUUGCACAUAUUUAUUUUCAUUCAGGCCAUGCUGUCCCUGGAAAGUUGCUGCUAAGAACCGAGACAGUUCCUGAUAUCCGAACAUUGCCUUUCUGCUCUUAUGUUUCCUUAUAUAUUCUCAUCUGCCAUGUGAACAGCAGACUCUGCUCCUCAAAGCCUUGGAAAUGAAGCCCACCAGAAACCAGUCUCGGCUUUGACAAGAAAGGUUUCGAGGUGAAUCCCGAAUGCCAUUGGAAGAUGUAUCUGUGUCCGACAGCAUCCUUUGCUUCCCUGCUAUUCUGAAGCAAUAUCUAGCAGGAAGAAUACCUGCUCACCACUGCUGGCUCCCAGUGGUCCCACAAGGAGGGCUGCCUGCUCUCUGGUGCAGCAGAGGCUCCAACAAGCGGCUGUCUUGCAGCUUGCAGAACCCACUGCAGCUCCGAGGAGGCCCCAGGCACUGCCUGCCGCCAUCCGCUCCCGUCCCACUGAGCGCAGGAUUUCCAUCAGCGCUCUGAUGUCUGGAUGGAAACUGGGACUGCGGCUCAUGCAUAUACAGACGGAGCUGCUGGACCAGUAAUUCUUCUGUCUCUUUUUCUGUAUCUAGGACGUAGCCCUGAAUUGAAUCUCUGAAAAUGGAAGGUCCGGCCUCAGAAGCGGGGUGAGGAUUUGGAUGUGCGUGGCUCUGCCCUCACUGCGGAGGAGGAAGGGGCUCCAUCCUUCGGGGGGGAAUUCCAGUUUAGGGUAAUGCAAAUGGAAACACCAUGUGUGUCCUUUUUCAUUCAAAUUACAUACAAAAAAAUUGUGAUACGAGUCAUGAGCAAAGGCAGAACAGAGCCUAGAGUCUUUAAUCUUUAAAAUCUAUUUUACAUGAUUAAAAGGAUCCUGCCUGGAGAAAAGCAAGACUGGCUAUUUAUAUCUCCAUUCUUCUCCCCCCUCUCUUUUUUCCUCAGAAAAUACUGUGCAGUCUUUCACAUCUGAAAGACCACGGCUGGCUGCCAUUAAUUUUAAUGCUAAAUCCUCAUCAGCAUUUCAAAACAUUAUGAAAAUGUCGAAGAAACUGUCUUCUAGUAGCUUGAAAAUAUUGCAGGCAGCAACCUAAAUAAUACUGUAAGUGCCCUGGUAAGUACAAGAGCACAUGCUGGAAAGGAAAAGAGAAAAAGAAAAGGCUUUAGACCACCACGCAAACAUCACUUCUACAAAGCAGGCGUAAAUGGAUUGCAGGAUUUCAUGGAUGCUGAGAGUUUGAAUUACUGCCUGAGCUGCACCUCUCUUAGAGAGAACGUGGCUUUCUUUUUAGGGAAUGCAUCAAAGACUGAAUGCUGCUGUUUGCUGUGCAAUCUGCUCUGUGGAUGAGUGCAUAAAUAACCUUACAUGUUGGGUCCUGUUUUGGCCAGCAAAUACAAUUAAAGGAAUGGAAUAUGUCACCGACUAUAAUAUUGGUGCUCAAUUCUGCUGCAUUUGCAAAGAUGAUGGAUGCCAAUUAAAUUGAAAUCAAUGGCCAUGGGCUAAGCAAAUGAUGACUCUGAUCAAAGCAUUCCUCCUUAGCAAAGCAGUAAAUCGGUUCCUAAACUGAAAUACAUCUUCUUCGUGGUUCUACUUAAAAUUAAGCACAUGCUUAAGAAACUUCCUGUUUAGGGAAGAGUUGAAAAUGCAUUUUGGAGCUUAGUUUUUAACUGGGAGUAUCCAUUCUUACCUGGCUCUAAGUGGAUGGCAUUUAUAGGGACGGUGACACACGUGCCAGAUUUCAGUGGGGUUUCAGGACACACUCUUGCUGUCUCACGCUCCGUUGUAUUUAUGGCAGUCCAGCAGGAUGGGGAACUGUAUGAGGAUUUCAGAACUGCGUGCUAUUUCUGCUUUCUUUCAUGAUGAGGCUUUUCCUGAAGUUUGCCCUUCGAUGGGACGGAGCAUAAGGGAGUGCUCCUCCUCUCCUCCUUUGGCAGUAUGUGGGAUGCUGCCACAUGGGGUGACUCUCAUAUGGUCAGUUUUGCAGCAGGGAUUUCCUUCACCUUGAGAACCAGUUUUUGAGUAACCCCAACUCUACCUGCUUCUCUAAGAAUUCAAGUGAUUUGAUCUUUCUAAAUGUUGUUGCUUUUUUCUUUGUGAAAGAGAUUUGGAAAAGUAUAGCUGCACUUUGAAAAUAAUUUUAAAAUAAUUAAAAUAAUGAUGAAAUUCUCCAAGGGCAAAAAGCUUCCUGUUUUUCCUAGCAGUAAGUGGGACAAGCACUAUCUCCAAGCAAAUGCCAUUAAAAAGCUCGGUUUUGCUGGGAAAUCUCAGGCUUUGCUGGGAAAAAGUACCGUCAGAGACAGAGAUGGGAAACUUUCAGCCUCUGUGCUGCUUUUUCUCUUUGUGAUUAAAUACCAGGUUGAAGUAUCAUCAACAGCGCGGAUUCUGAAGAAUACAUGAGAAUGCACUUGAGGUUAGAAAGCUUGUCUUUUAUUCACCGUGUUGUUGUUGUUGUUGUUUUUUUUUAAAGCCACUAGACUGUUCUUGAAAUGAAUCACUGAGAGGGUGAGAUGAAGGCUGGAGGUGCACGCUAUGUUUUCAUCGCCAGCUCCUCGCAGCCCAGGUAUGAUGUCAAGCCUCACCUCCGAGAAGCACUUCUCUUCCUGCCUGGCUCUCCGUGGUGGCAUCAUUAACGUUGAUGGCUAUAAUUGACUACAAAAAGCAGACCUUUAGUCCCCACCUGAUCUUUCGGAGUGUUUAUACACUGCGAGCCUGACCACACAGCAGACUAAUGAGCAUUACACUUGACAAAUAUUGUCAUGCCUAAACAGGAGAUAAUGCUUCUGCUAAGACAAGCAGCAAGCCUGGGGGCACAUCACGCUUAAAUAGGAAAGUUAGGAACCAAUAUUCUCUUCUGCUCUCUGGGUCCCAUCCAGAUCCUCAGUGCCAGUGAAGGCUUUCAGCUGUGAGCUUUGCAUCUCGAAGAAGAAGCCCUUAAGCACGCUGCACAACCACAUAGAAAGGCAUUGUGCAGUGGAACAGUGUGAAGAUGAAUCCCUUUGUAAUAACACUGUGUGGUAACUGCUGGGUCAUGGCCUGAAGCACUCACUGAGCACCUGGGGAAAGGACCCGGUCAGCCCUGGGAGCACAG